UAGGGAAUCUUCCGCAAUGGACGCAAGUCUGACGGAGCAACGCCGCGUGAGUGAAGAAGGAUUUCGGUUCGUAAAACUCUGUUGUUAGAGAAGAACAGCGCAUAGAGUAACUGUUAUGCGUGUGACGGUAUCUAACCAGAAAGGGACGGCUAACUACGUGCCAGCAGCCGCUGUAAUACGUAGGUCCCGAGCGUUGUCCGGAUUUAUUGGGCGUAAAGCGAGCGCAGGCGGUUAGAUAAGUCUGAAGUUAAAGGCAGUGGCUCAACCAUUGUAGGCUUUGGAAACUGUUUAACUUGAGUGCAGAAGGGGAGAGUGGAAUUCCAUGUGUAGCGGUGAAAUGCGUAGAUAUAUGGAGGAACACCGGUGGCGAAAGCGGCUCUCUGGUCUGUAACUGACGCUGAGGCUCGAAAGCGUGGGGAGCGAACAGG
RNAcentral lists this ribosomal RNA (428 nucleotides) under Bacteroidota bacterium. Its description in RNAcentral is "Bacteroidetes bacterium partial 16S ribosomal RNA". It matches the Rfam family "Bacterial small subunit ribosomal RNA", at positions 355 to 776 of the family's 1533-position model. The record is from RNAcentral. Lineage: Bacteria; Pseudomonadati; Bacteroidota.